AUGAGGACCAGUUUGUUGGGCCAGGGAAGGGUACCAGGGAACAGGAAUGUGUUGCAGGCACGAGCGGCCAUGGCAGCAGCGUGGUGUGGCCAGGUUCAGGAAAGGAGCCACAUGGUCAGAGUCUAUGUUGGAUGGACAAUGACUAAGAGAGUGGAUCUCAUCGGUGACUCUCCGAGGCAGGGCGGCCAAGCAAGAGACAACGCGGGCCCAAACGAGGCUGUGUUACUGGACAGGGAGAGGACACUGUCAGGAGGCACUCUGGAGGUGACGUUGGUAGGACGGAUUGAUAGCUGGAGGGAGAGUGGGGGAAGGACAUCCAGGUUUCUGGCUGGAGAGAGUGGGUGCAUAGGAGUGCUGUGACCCUACUCAGGUAUUUCUUAAAGUAGUGUCUGCUCUGCCUCAGGCUGGCCUCAGUUGCCCCCUGCAUUCCAUUUUUGUUAAUCCUGCAGAAAUCAGACCUUUAUUUCUUGCCUAGAUUCUUGAGGUAUCCUCUUCUAAAAAAAAUUUUUUUUUAAAUGUUUAUUUAUUUUUGAGAGAGACAGAGACAGAGACAGAGAGUGAGUGGGGGGAGGAGCAGAGUUGAGAGGGAGACACAGAAUCCGAAGCAGGCUUCAGGCUCCAAGCUGUCAGCACAGAUCCCAAUGCGGGGCUUGAACCCACAAACCGUGAGAUCAUGACCUGAGCCGAAGUCGGACGCUUAACUUACUGAGCCACCCGGGCGCCCCUUGAGGUAUCCUCUUAAUUUCUUCCAGUCCAUCCUGCACACUGGUGCCCAAGUCCUCUUCCAGGGACAGCUGAACAAGAAUCCUCACUGGCUGCACAUUGAAAAAUCUCCAAGUUCUUUCGCCUGACUGUCAAUAUUCAUUGCUAGUGGGGACAUGAAGACAUGGUCUUUGCCCUGAAAGAGUGUAAUUUUCCACAGAAGGUGAGGCAUAUUACACGUAAAGUAGCUAAACGUCAAAUGGUCUUUAGAAGGGGAACAGAAUUCGUGCUCUGAGGGGAAAGAAGGAAGGAGGCAGAGUUUCCCCUAGAGGUGAAUCAAGGUCACCCUGGUCUUUUCCCAUUAUGUCAUUCCAGGUGCGUCUUCCAUUCUCCCCUGCACCUGUCCUCUCUGGUCUGUCCACACUGGUCUCAUCGUUGCCUGAAAAUGACUCCCCUUUCCCACCUCUGUGUCUCGGCAGACUCCCUCUGCCUGGCAUACAGGCCCUCCUGUCUCCUUUCUGCCUGUUAGAAUCCUACCAUCUUUCAGUAUUCAGCCCAGUGCAAGUGCUUUAUUGAGUCCCCUGCCCAGAUGGGAUCCUCCCAAGGCACGUUACCUUUCUGAUGGCCUUUGUACAUUUCACCGCAUACAGUACCUACCGUGUCUCACGCUUUAUUGCCCCCACCAGCCUGGGAACAGAGGUGUGACACUGGGAGCCUUAGUUGUGGGUCUAGCCCGCAGAUGCAUUUCACUAGUUCUCAUUCUUUUUUAACAAUCACAAUUCAUUUAGUUGAAGAAUCACAACCAAGUAUCAAACAUACAGAAAAGUACAGAGUAUGCUGUAAUGCCCACCCAGGACCCAUCACCAAGAAGGAACAGAUUGCCUCUAACGCCUCGCUGCCCGCUUUUUGAGAACUAAAAUAUUACGCGUACGGUUUCGGCACUAGCCCACACAUUCCCGGAGCUGGUCUGCACACUGUUUUCAAAAUUUAGAAUUAGGUGCCAAUAUUUGGAAAUCAAGAGAUUUCAUAUAGCGAUUGGGAAGGUUUGCUUUCCUCGAAGAGUCAGAAGAUCUGGGAACUUGGAGUACAUCCCAGGCCCGAAUCAGCUGCUGCCUCCCGGAAGCAGAGCGUGGCCUCCUGCACACCACACUCCCACCCCCCCCCCCCACCCCCCCAUGCCCUGGGGUCUUUGGGCUCCAACCUGCUUCACUUACAAUGCGGGUGCUGGCUCCUGCAGACAUGUAGUCUGAUGUCUUCACGUGGACUCCUGGAAGUCACAAUGCUUUUUUUUUUUUAUUAUUAUUAUCGCUGGAACUGAACCACUAGCGAGCUGGAUGACCUCGAGCAAAUUGCGUACCUCUCUGCUUCCAUUUCCUCCUGUGUCAAAUUAGGGUAGCAAGAGCGCCUGCUUUUGAGUGUUGUUUGAGGGUUAUUAUAUAAAACGUGUAAGGCAAUCCCUGGCACCUGAUUCUUCUGGCUAGCAGUCCACGAGCUUUUGUCCAAAAUCCUAGGGGCUGGAUGUGUGUUGAAAUUCAGAUUUCUUUUAGAUUUUAAGAAGGUAAUAAAGCAAUAUCAUAAUUACA
This 2285-nucleotide long non-coding RNA is filed under the name Felis catus (domestic cat). Its description in RNAcentral is "lncRNA (ENSFCAG00000047921.1)". The record is from RNAcentral. Lineage: Eukaryota; Metazoa; Chordata; Mammalia; Carnivora; Felidae.